GGUGAGAUGGCCGAGUUGGUAAGUCACCUUUGCAAACACAGAUCCGUCGCUGCGACGCAUCGUUAACAACCUCCCCAGGUUAUGGCGCCAGGUUAAGGAUUACCUUAGCAAUCAGAUUCCUGGUGGAGCAAUCCUCGUGGGUUCAAAUCCCACUCUCAUCA
This 161-nucleotide transfer RNA is filed under the name Stachybotrys chartarum IBT 40293. RNAcentral's name for it is "tRNA-Und (NNN) (tRNA-Und-NNN-4-1)". It matches the Rfam family "tRNA". Rfam says of the family: Transfer RNA (tRNA) molecules are approximately 80 nucleotides in length. Their secondary structure includes four short double-helical elements and three loops (D, anti-codon, and T loops). Further hydrogen bonds mediate the characteristic L-shaped molecular structure. tRNAs have two regions of fundamental functional importance: the anti-codon, which is responsible for specific mRNA codon recognition, and the 3' end, to which the tRNAs corresponding amino acid is attached (by aminoacyl-tRNA synthetases). tRNAs cope with the degeneracy of the genetic code in two manners: having more than one tRNA (with a specific anti-codon) for a particular amino acid; and 'wobble' base-pairing, i.e. permitting non-standard base-pairing at the 3rd anti-codon position. The record is from RNAcentral. Lineage: Eukaryota; Fungi; Ascomycota; Sordariomycetes; Hypocreales; Stachybotryaceae.